UGAUGCAGCGACGCCGCGUGAGGGAUGACGGCCUUCGGGUUGUAAACCUCUUUCAGUAGGGAAGAAGCGAAAGUGACGGUACCUGCAGAAGAAGCACCGGCUAACUACGUGCCAGCAGCCGCGGUAAUACGUAGGGUGCGAGCGUUAUCCGGAAUUAUUGGGCGUAAAGAGCUCGUAGGCGGUUUGUCGCGUCUGUCGUGAAAGUCCGGGGCUUAACCCCGGAUCUGCGGUGGGUACGGGCAGACUAGAGUGCAGUAGGGGAGACUGGAAUUCCUGGUGUAGCGGUGGAAUGCGCAGAUAUCAGGAGGAACACCGAUGGCGAAGGCAGGUCUCUGGGCUGUAACUGACGCUGAGGAGCGAAAGCAUGGGGAGCGAACAGGAUUAGAUACCCUGGUAGUCCAUGCCGUAAACGUUGGGCACUAGGUGUGGGGACCAUUCCACGGUUUCCGCGCCGCAGCUAACGCAUUAAGUGCCCCGCCUGGGGAGUACGGCCGCAAGGCUAAAACUCAA
Molecule: ribosomal RNA, 510 nt
Filed under: Micrococcus endophyticus
Lineage: Bacteria; Bacillati; Actinomycetota; Actinomycetes; Micrococcales; Micrococcaceae
Description: bacterial SSU rRNA
Rfam family: Bacterial small subunit ribosomal RNA
Source: RNAcentral